CCUACGGGAGGCUGCAGUGAGGAAUAUUGGUCAAUGGACGGGAGUCUGAACCAGCCAUGCAGCGUGCAGGAUGACUGCCCUAUGGGUUGUAAACUGCUUUUGUACGAGAAUAAACCUUUCUACGUGUAGUCAGCUGUAUGUACUGUAUGAAUAAGGAUCGGCUAACUCCGUGCCAGCAGCCGCGGUAAUACGGAGGAUCCAAGCGUUAUCCGGAUUUAUUGGGUUUAAAGGGUGCGUAGGUGGAUUGUUAAGUCAGUUGUGAAAGUUUGGGGCUUAACCCUAAAAUUGCAGUUGAAACUGGUAGUCUAGAGUACAGUAGAGGUAGGCGGAAUGUAUGGUGUAGCGGUGAAAUGCUUAGAGAUCACACAGAACACCGAUUGCGAAGGCAGUUUACUAAACUACAUCUGACAUUGAGGCACGAAAGUGUGGGUAGCAAACAGGAUUAGAUACCCGAGUAGUC
RNAcentral lists this ribosomal RNA (460 nucleotides) under uncultured bacterium. Its description in RNAcentral is "partial 16S ribosomal RNA". It matches the Rfam family "Bacterial small subunit ribosomal RNA", at positions 338 to 795 of the family's 1533-position model. The record is from RNAcentral.